RNAcentral lists this ribosomal RNA (120 nucleotides) under Salmo salar (Atlantic salmon). Lineage: Eukaryota; Metazoa; Chordata; Actinopteri; Salmoniformes; Salmonidae. The record is from RNAcentral.
GCUUACGGCCAUACCAGCCUGUGGUACGCCCGAUCUCGUCUGAUCUCGGAAGCUAAGCAGGGUCGGGCCUUGUUAGUACUUGGAUGGGAGACCGCCUGGGAAUACCAGGUGCUGUAAGCA